GGUGUCUUUAGUUUAUCUGGUAAAACGUCUCAUUGUGGAUGAGAAGAACAGGGUUCGACUCCCUGAAUUCACCC
This 74-nucleotide transfer RNA is filed under the name Kordia sp. TARA_039_SRF. RNAcentral's name for it is "tRNA-His". It matches the Rfam family "tRNA". Rfam says of the family: Transfer RNA (tRNA) molecules are approximately 80 nucleotides in length. Their secondary structure includes four short double-helical elements and three loops (D, anti-codon, and T loops). Further hydrogen bonds mediate the characteristic L-shaped molecular structure. tRNAs have two regions of fundamental functional importance: the anti-codon, which is responsible for specific mRNA codon recognition, and the 3' end, to which the tRNAs corresponding amino acid is attached (by aminoacyl-tRNA synthetases). tRNAs cope with the degeneracy of the genetic code in two manners: having more than one tRNA (with a specific anti-codon) for a particular amino acid; and 'wobble' base-pairing, i.e. permitting non-standard base-pairing at the 3rd anti-codon position. The record is from RNAcentral. Lineage: Bacteria; Pseudomonadati; Bacteroidota; Flavobacteriia; Flavobacteriales; Flavobacteriaceae.